This 557-nucleotide ribosomal RNA is filed under the name Ammodytes hexapterus (Pacific sand lance). RNAcentral describes it as "partial 16S ribosomal RNA". It matches the Rfam family "Bacterial large subunit ribosomal RNA", at positions 1851 to 2605 of the family's 2925-position model. Lineage: Eukaryota; Metazoa; Chordata; Actinopteri; Uranoscopiformes; Ammodytidae. The record is from RNAcentral.
GGUCCCGCCUGCCCUGUGACUCUAAGUUUAACGGCCGCGGUAUUUUGACCGUGCGAAGGUAGCGCAAUCACUUGUCUUUUAAAUGGAGACCUGUAUGAAUGGCAUAACGAGGGCUUAGCUGUCUCCUUUCUCUAGUCAAUGAAAUUGAUCUCCCCGUGCAGAAGCGGGGAUAGAACCAUAAGACGAGAAGACCCUAUGGAGCUUUAGACGCCAAGACAGACCAUGUUAAACACCUCCCCAUAAGGAGCCCAAACCAAAUGGUCCCUGCCCUAGUGUCUUUGGUUGGGGCGACCGCGGGGAAACAUAAAACCCCCAUGUGGAAUGGGAGCACCCUCUCCUACAACUAAGAGCUACAGCUCUAAUGAACAGAAUUUCUGACCAACAAGAUCCGGCAAUGCCGAUCAACGGACCGAGUUACCCUAGGGAUAACAGCGCAAUCCCCUUUUAGAGCCCAUAUCGACAAGGGGGUUUACGACCUCGAUGUUGGAUCAGGACAUCCUAAUGGUGCAGCCGCUAUUAAGGGUUCGUUUGUUCAACGAUUAAAGUCCUACGUGAUC